RNAcentral lists this ribosomal RNA (207 nucleotides) under uncultured bacterium. RNAcentral's name for it is "partial 16S ribosomal RNA". It matches the Rfam family "Bacterial small subunit ribosomal RNA", at positions 568 to 774 of the family's 1533-position model. The record is from RNAcentral.
CGUGCAGCCGGGCUGACAAGUCAGAUGUGAAAUCCCGAGGCUUAACCUCGGAACUGCAUUUGAAACUGUUGGUCUUGAGUAUCGGAGAGGUCAUCGGAAUUCCUUGUGUAGCGGUGAAAUGCGUAGAUAUAAGGAAGAACACCAGUGGCGAAGGCGGAUGACUGGACGACAACUGACGGUGAGGCGCGAAAGCGUGGGGAGCGAACA